Molecule: ribosomal RNA, 497 nt
Filed under: uncultured bacterium
Lineage: Bacteria
Description: partial 16S ribosomal RNA
Rfam family: Bacterial small subunit ribosomal RNA
Source: RNAcentral
GAUGAACGCUGGCGGCGUGCCUAAUACAUGCAAGUCGAGCGAACGGACAAGAAGCUUGCUUCUCUGAUGUUAGCGGCGGACGGGUGAGUAACACGUGGAUAACCUACCUAUAAGACUGGGAUAACUUCGGGAAACCGGAGCUAAUACCGGAUAAUAUUUUGAACCGCAUGGUUCAAAAGUGAAAGACGGUCUUGCUGUCACUUAUAGAUGGAUCCGCGCUGCAUUAGCUAGUUGGUAAGGUAACGGCUUACCAAGGCAACGAUGCAUAGCCGACCUGAGAGGGUGAUCGGCCACACUGGAACUGAGACACGGUCCAGACUCCUACGGGAGGCAGCAGUAGGGAAUCUUCCGCAAAGGGCGAAAGCCUGACGGAGCAACGCCGCGUGAGUGAUGAAGGUCUUCGGAUCGUAAAACUCUGUUAUUAGGGAAGAACAUAUGUGUAAGUAACUGUGCACAUCUUGACGGUACCUAAUCAGAAAGCCACGGCUAACUACGUG